This 486-nucleotide ribosomal RNA is filed under the name uncultured bacterium. Its description in RNAcentral is "partial 16S ribosomal RNA". It matches the Rfam family "Bacterial small subunit ribosomal RNA", at positions 30 to 507 of the family's 1533-position model. The record is from RNAcentral.
AUUGAACGCUGGCGGCAUGCCUUACACAUGCAAGUCGAACGGCAGCACGGGUGCUUGCCCCUGGUGGCGAGUGGCGAACGGGUGAGUAAUACAUCGGAACAUGUCCUGUAGUGGGGGAUAGCCCGGCGAAAGCCGGAUUAAUACCGCAUACGAUCUACGGAAGAAAGCGGGGGACCUUCGUGCCUCGCGCUAUAGGGUUGGCCGAUGGCUGAUUAGCAAGGUGGUGGGGUAAAGGCCUACCAAGGCGACGAUCAGUAGCUGGUCUGAGAGGACGACAACUCACAUUGGGAGUGAGACACGGCCCAGACCCCUACGGGAGGCAGCAGUGGAGAAUUUUGGGCAAUGGGCGAAAGCCUGAUACAGCAAUCCCGCGUGUGUGCAGAAGGCCUUCGGGUUGUAAAGCACUUUUGUCCGGAAAGAAAUACUUGGCCCUAAUACGGUCGGGGGAUGACGGUACCGGAAGAAUAAGCACCGGCUAACUACGUG